AAUCAGAAUCAAAGACGCAACUGCUUUCCCAUUUAAGCAGCUGUCCAAAAAGAGCCCAGAAUGACAGCUUUCCUGUACCACCUCUGUUCUGGUGCCUGUGGCUGAUUUAUGAUAUUUUGGGGAAACACAGCU
This is a small nucleolar RNA of Rhinolophus ferrumequinum (greater horseshoe bat), 132 nucleotides long. The record is from Ensembl. NCBI's taxonomy places the organism in Eukaryota, Metazoa, Chordata, Mammalia, Chiroptera, Rhinolophidae.